UGGGGAAUAUUGCACAAUGGGCGCAAGCCUGAUGCAGCCAUGCCGCGUGUAUGAAGAAGGCCUUCGGGUUGUAAAGUACUUUCAGCGGGGAGGAAGGGAGUAAAGUUAAUACCUUUGCUCAUUGACGUUACCCGCAGAAGAAGCACCGGCUAACUCCGUGCCAGCAGCCGCGGUAAUACGGAGGGUGCAAGCGUUAAUCGGAAUUACUGGGCGUAAAGCGCACGCAGGCGGUUUGUUAAGUCGGAUGUGAAAUCCCCGGGCUCAACCUGGGAACUGCAUCUGAUACUGGCAAGCUUGAGUCUCGUAGAGGGUGGUAGAAUUCCAGGUGUAGCGGUGAAAUGCGUAGAGAUCUGGAGGAAUACCGGUGGCGAAGGCGGCCCCCUGGACGAAGACUGACGCUCAGGUGCGAAAGCGUGGGGAGCAAACA
This 427-nucleotide ribosomal RNA is filed under the name uncultured bacterium. RNAcentral's name for it is "partial 16S ribosomal RNA". It matches the Rfam family "Bacterial small subunit ribosomal RNA", at positions 355 to 774 of the family's 1533-position model. The record is from RNAcentral.